RNAcentral lists this unclassified non-coding RNA (260 nucleotides) under Hevea brasiliensis (rubber tree). Lineage: Eukaryota; Viridiplantae; Streptophyta; Magnoliopsida; Malpighiales; Euphorbiaceae. The record is from RNAcentral.
UGCAGUUAGUCGAGAGCAAACGAACGAGCAGGGGGAGAAAAUGUACAUUCAAACUAGAAUGGCUCAGUAUGCUGAGGAGCUUUGGGAAUUAUUGAAGAAGGACAAUACCUUUGUUUACAUGUGUGGACUUAAGGGCAUGGAGAAGGGAAUUGAUGACAUUAUGGUCUCUUUGGCUGCUAGAGAUGGUAUUGAUUGGCUGGAAUACAAGAGGGAAUUGAAGAAAUCAGAGCAAUGGAAUGUGGAAGUUUAUUAAUUUUAUA